GCCCCCCCCCCCCCCCCGCCGCAGCGAUCACCAAAUACCGGGGCCAAAGAAGCGAAUGGGUUUUCCCGGAGUUGGGUUGCUUGGAAAUGCAGCCCAAAGCGGGUUGUCAAACUUUACUCCCCUUUGUUAAGUGAGAUUAGGAAAGCAAUGUUUUCUUUCCCUCCCGUAGUCGGCUUGAGUGCAAAUGGAGAUGCCUACUGGGGAUUUAACAACUUUGACAUCUCGCUUUGACUUUUCUCAAAGCCCUGUCCUCAUUAUUAAAUUGGUGUUAAUUGGCUUUGGAGGAUGGGAACCAAAUUUUCAGUCACAAAUUUUGACACCCCCGAGGGGACUUUUAAGGAGUCCCCACUCUGCUUUCUUGGGGAAGCUUAGCACUCGAAACAACUGCAAACAGAGGAUCAACUUUUUGGGAGCUGACUGCUGAAAAGUUAAGAGAUGUGGGAAAUGUCUGGUGCCUGGGGUUAGACCAAACUGGAGGGACUAAUCCUGUAAGUAAAAGGUGAGACUAAGGGACUCCCAGCAGCUGCCACAGCCAUUUUGCUUUGGGGAACUCCCUCUCCCUUACCUGCACUUUAAGGAUUACUCCACCUCUGUCUAAAAAAAAAAAAAAAAAAAGAAGGGACAAUGAAUGCAGUAAUGUGUUGAUAUUAUAGGUUAUUUCUUGGGGAUGAUCUUGGCUGAAUGUGUAUCUAAAAGAUGAUUGUUUUUUUAUUGUAACAAUCUGGUAUCUGAAUGGGUUUCUAAAGCAUUGCACUAUCUUGCAGUUAAAAGUUGGGUUUAAGCAAUUGUUUAGCUUGAUUUCAGAUAGUUCAUGCUAAAAAAAAAAACUUAAAUACUUAGGAUAAAAAAUUUUUUUCAAGAGUUUCAAUUUUGAACUGGGUAGCCUGAGAAGAUUUCACUAGGUAUUCCAGUGCAUUAACUUGGGCAAAGAUAAUAAAUUAUGAUAUGAUAUCUGUUCCCCUCAGUGUGUAAGGUUCAGGAGAAAAAAAAAGGUGCUAAAUUAAAACGUUGGUCUGGCUUAUUGAAAUGACAUUAAUUAGCAACAGUCUUGGAAAUUUUUAAAGCUUAAUUUCGGAUACACAUGGUAGUGUGUGGUUCUUUUUAAAAAUUUUCAGGUAAUUUAAUGUAACUUAAUACUACUUUAGAAACUUCAGAACAAAAAAAAAGUGGCUUAAUGAUCCUAAAAAAAAAAUUUCUUCUGAUGGUAACUUUUAUAUUAUCAAGAGAGAUCCUAUUUUCAGUUUUGUGUGAGCAAGUUUUUCUAAUGUAAAGAGAUAUAAAGAUAUAAAAUUUUGUAAAUUGUAUCUUAAACUUGCAUCAUAAUUUUCAACAUCCAAACCUGGAAAUUAUGACUUAUAGCUAAAAUGCCUUAGACAUGAGGUUUCUGCUCAGAAUUCCAGUUUUCCAGACCUCAGCCAGGACUUAAGUUGAUAUGCAAAUAAAAAAAGCCUGCAGCACUCAGCAGGAGACAGAUCUCAGACCAAAAAAAAAAAAGAAUAAAAGUGUCUUUUUACCUGAACUCAAACUAGACCCCAACCAAAAAGUAAAUUAUAUGAUAUUUACUAAUUACUGGCCAGUCAUCUUUUUUAGGACUCUUGCUUUUUCUUAGAUUCUGUAUUUUUUUGAGCUCAUGAUUUUGAUCCUGCAGAUGGGUUAAUGUUUUCUGAUCAGUUCUAUUUUUGAUCAACUGUGGAGUUUUUAAACAUUGCAAUAGAGAUUUCACCUAAAAAAAGCUACAAGGCCUUUACUAUUGUGUUAUGUGUUACACUUGUGUUACAUGUUGUAUGUCGGUAUGUCUAUAUGUGUGUAUGUCCAUAUAUCAUGCAGUGAUAUGACAAUUGACAGAUGAGGAGCGCUCAUAAAAAAAUUUAAAAAUAGAUCCAAAUAUCUUUAAUUCACGUGAUUCAAAUGGUUCAAUUUAAAUUGGGUAAACAGAUAAAAGUAAAGAUAUCUUUAAAAUUAAGCUUAUAAGUUUUUCUAGGUGUUCAAAAAGACCCUAAUAAAAUGUUGAUGUCUAUGAAAUAAUCUGCUUAAAUUCAGAAAUUUACAAGUAUUGUUUCAAAAUGUGAACAGAAAGAGGUUAACAGAUGGAAAAGAGAAACUAAAAGGUUCUAGAUAUAGAUUUAAUAGAGAAAAAAUGUGUUUCUGGAUAAAAGAGUCUAUAUGAUUAAGUAAUUAAGAGGGUUUAAAUAAGUGAUAAAAAAGGGUCUGUGUAAGUUGGCUAUGUGUGUAAGUUAUUGAGCAAGUAAUCUUAAAAAAAUUAAAAUUAUACAACUAUGGUUAAACAACAACUGUUAUUUUUCAAUACUUUUCUUGUGCUGUCUUACUCUGCAUAAUGAAGUACUUCCAAACCCAAUCGCAGAAAGUUUCUAAUCAAACUUUCAACCAGCUUCUGCUUAGGCAUUACCGGCCUCUGAUGACCGAUGAACCCCCAACAUCUUCAAGAGAACAGUUCACUCAGUGAUGAAGCUCACUACCAGGCACGAUGGAAUGCAACAGACAUCAGACAGCGGGAGACAACGAGCUCGGAGAACCUCUUAAUCUAUCAUCCUGGAUUCAUGAGUCUUUAUGUCCUUCUAAGCUUCCUCAUGGCCCUUGGCCUCUUUUCUGUCAGUCCCCCAGCAUGGAACUUCUGCCAAAAAUUGACCUUUGCUUUAAUCUUUAUCUUCAUUCUGUUUUUAUUCGCUCUGAUUUUCUUCAGGUGCUGGUGAUGCCAACAUGGCGCCUAAGGACUUCUUCUUCCUACCUCCUUCUUCUCUGCAGUGGCAUGAAAAGUUCCUGCCUGUGUGAACUCUCCCACUGGUGCCAAUCUCAAAUCUUGCUGGCAGAGAACCUUAGCCCCAGUGAGAACUAAUUCCUGGGCUCCGGAGCUGAUAUCUGGAAGAACUUACCAAUAAACGGGUUGCCUGCCAUUUAUCUAAGCACUACCAUCUCCCCCUUAGUUCUAUAUAAGCACACAGCUUUUUGCAAGGUUAAUUAUGAUACUAUUAAUAUAUGUUCAUAUUUUCCAGGUAUACAAGUCUGUAAGGUAGAAGCUUCAAAAGAGCAUUGUAUCAAGCUGGCGUUCUAAAGUUGUAUGGUAAUUUUAGGCUUUAAAAAAAUAUGUUAAAGACUUAUUUAUAUCAUUUGUGUUCUACAACUGGACAUGUUAUCAAUAAGAUAUAUACAGUUCCAUGUUACUUUUUACACUGAGAUACAAUUUAAAUGUAUUUUUAAGUUAAUGAGAGCCUAAUCUAUGUAAAGGUUUUAUUGUAAAACACAAAAAUACUUUGCUACUUUUCUACAAAAGGUUAAAAACUUUCAGCCUUUCUUUAAUUCAUGUUUUAGAUGUAAUAUUAUGUUGUGUUAGCUAAUAUCCAUGUAAACUUGAGCAACAAUUUAUAUAGGUUUUGUAAAAUGAUGUCUAAAAAGCAAAGAUCAGCUUCAGAACCAUAGUAUUUAAGAUUUAUGAAGAGCCCCGCCUUACUUGAGAUAAGGCUCUAUGUCCCAUCUCAUGUGAAAGAGACUAUGAAAAAAAUAGGCCAGAUUUCAGUACAUUUAAAGUUGUGUCCAAAAGUUGGUUUUUGCCAAGAUUACUAGGAUCUCAAACAGGGGAUUAUGAUGUAUAACCCUGCCAGAAUUCAAGGUAGCUAUUAUAUAAACUAAAUAUGUCUUUACCCUAGUUAAUUUUAGUUCGUACUUUGCUUAUAGAUGGUCUAAGGAUUGCCUGUUAAUGUUUUGCAGAGGUACUGCUUUAAGAACACACAACCUGGGUCAACUUAAGAUAAGGAGUUAUCACCUACAGGAUAGAGAGAUAGACAUUAAAGCCCAGUGCUCUUAAUAUAAGGCUGUUAACUUAUUUGCUGGAUGUUUAAGAUUCAGUUUUUAAAAUUAAAGUUAAAUUAAAAGGGCCAAGAAAACCAAUAUUUGGCUCUUGCCCUCUGAGUCAGUCUGAAUCAGGGAAUAGGGGACUUCUCCAGAGAGCUUUGCAACUCUGGGUCACAUAACCUCCCGAUCAGGGAGAUUAAUGAGACCAGUAGAGGACAGAAAGCCAAUCAGUGCAUUUGCUAUGAAGAGGAGGGUCAUCAGAAAAGGGAGAUAUCCCUGAUGCUUCCAAGGGAAGCCACAUGGUCAAGCAAGGCCCGGACCCAUCCUAACACAAAUGGCACUAGCAGAACUGAGAAGCUGCUGUAAGUUCCCCGAGGACUCCCAGGGAAACUCAGCUGACUGUUAACAACAGAUAGAAACAAAAGUCAGUUUGACUUGCUUCAUCUUAAACACUUAGCAAAGACAGUCAAAGCCAAAGCACAGCUGUUCCUGGACNAGAAGUAGGCCAGAUUUCAGUACAUUUAAAGUUGUGUC
RNAcentral lists this long non-coding RNA (4341 nucleotides) under Marmota monax (woodchuck). The record is from RNAcentral. Lineage: Eukaryota; Metazoa; Chordata; Mammalia; Rodentia; Sciuridae.